GACGAACGCUGGCGGCGUGCCUAAUACAUGCAAGUAGAACGCUGAAGAGAGGAGCUUGCUCUUCUUGGAUGAGUUGCGAACGGGUGAGUAACGCGUAGGUAACCUGCCUGGUAGCGGGGGAUAACUAUUGGAAACGAUAGCUAAUACCGCAUAAAAUGGAUUAUCGCAUGAUAAUCCAUUGAAAGGUGCAAAUGCAUCACUACCAGAUGGACCUGCGUUGUAUUAGCUAGUUGGUGGGGUAACGGCUCACCAAGGCGACGAUACAUAGCCGACCUGAGAGGGGGAUCGGCCACACUGGGACUGAGACACGGCCCAGACUCCUACGGGAGGCAGCAGUAGGGAAUCUUCGGCAAUGGACGGAAGUCUGACCGAGCAACGCCGCGUGAGUGAAGAAGGUUUUCGGAUCGUAAAGCUCUGUUGUAAGAGAAGAACGAGUGUGAGAGUGGAAAGUUCACACUGUGACGGUAGCUUACCAGAAAGGGACGGCUAACUACGUG
RNAcentral lists this ribosomal RNA (497 nucleotides) under uncultured bacterium. Its description in RNAcentral is "partial 16S ribosomal RNA". It matches the Rfam family "Bacterial small subunit ribosomal RNA", at positions 28 to 507 of the family's 1533-position model. The record is from RNAcentral.